CUACGGGGGGCUGCAGUCGAGAAUAGUCUACAAUGGGGGAAACCCUGAUAGUGCGACGCCGCGUGAACGAAGAAGCUUUUCGGAGUGUAAAGUUCUUUUCUGUAUGAGCAAUGCUUUAUUGUUUAAGAGAUAAUAGAGAGAGAUAUUAGUACAGGAAUAAGCCACGGCUAACUCCGUGCCAGCAGCCGCGGUAAUACGGGGGUGGCAAGCGUUGUCCGGAAUUACUAGGCGUAAAGGGCAGGUAGGCGGAUAUUCAAGUCAGGCGUUAAAGGCAUCAGCUCAACUGGUGUACGGCGUUUGAAACUGGAUAUCUAGAGUCAGGUAGAGGUAGAUGGAAUUCCUAGUGUAGCGGUGGAAUGCGCAGAGAUUAGGAAGAACACCAAAGGCGAAGGCAAUCUACUGGGCCAUGACUGACGCUAAACUGCGAAGGUGUGGGUAUCAAACAGGAUUAGAUACCCCAGUAGUC
Molecule: ribosomal RNA, 466 nt
Filed under: uncultured bacterium
Lineage: Bacteria
Description: partial 16S ribosomal RNA
Rfam family: Bacterial small subunit ribosomal RNA
Source: RNAcentral